RNAcentral lists this unclassified non-coding RNA (337 nucleotides) under soil metagenome. RNAcentral's name for it is "partial contains 5.8S ribosomal RNA, internal transcribed spacer 2, and large subunit ribosomal RNA". The stretch from base 1 to 119 matches the Rfam family "5.8S ribosomal RNA", at positions 35 to 154 of the family's 154-position model. The record is from RNAcentral.
GAUGAAGACGUAGCGAAAUGCGAUACGUAGUGUGAAUUGCAGAAUUCAGUGAAUCAUCGAAUCUUUGAACGCACAUUGCACCUCUCGGUAUUCCGGGAGGUAUGCCUGUUCGAGCGUCAUUUGUACCCUCAAGCUCUGCUUGGUGUUGGGUGUUUGUUCCGCCUCUGUGUGUGAACUCGCCUCAAAACAAUUGGCAGCCGGCGUACUUGUUUCGGAGCGCAGCACAUUUUGCGAUCCAGAUCAACGUACAGCGGCAUCCAAGAAGCCUUAUUUAACGCUCUUGACCUCGGAUCAGGUAGGGAUACCCGCUGAACUUAAGCAUAUCAUAAGCGGAGGA